RNAcentral lists this transfer RNA (77 nucleotides) under Buchnera aphidicola str. APS (Acyrthosiphon pisum). RNAcentral describes it as "tRNA-Met (CAT)". It matches the Rfam family "tRNA". Rfam says of the family: Transfer RNA (tRNA) molecules are approximately 80 nucleotides in length. Their secondary structure includes four short double-helical elements and three loops (D, anti-codon, and T loops). Further hydrogen bonds mediate the characteristic L-shaped molecular structure. tRNAs have two regions of fundamental functional importance: the anti-codon, which is responsible for specific mRNA codon recognition, and the 3' end, to which the tRNAs corresponding amino acid is attached (by aminoacyl-tRNA synthetases). tRNAs cope with the degeneracy of the genetic code in two manners: having more than one tRNA (with a specific anti-codon) for a particular amino acid; and 'wobble' base-pairing, i.e. permitting non-standard base-pairing at the 3rd anti-codon position. Lineage: Bacteria; Pseudomonadati; Pseudomonadota; Gammaproteobacteria; Enterobacterales; Erwiniaceae. RNAcentral also lists the same sequence under 1 other name. The record is from RNAcentral.
GGGGUGGAGCAGUCUGGUAGCUCGUCGGGCUCAUAACCCGAAGGUCGUUGGUUCAAAUCCAGCCCCCGCAACCAAUA